GACGAACGCUGGCGGCGUGCUUAACACAUGCAAGUCGAACGGAAAGGCCCUGCUUUUGUGGGUUGCUCGAGUGGCGAACGGGUGAGUAACACGUGAGUAACCUGCCCUUGACUUUGGGAUAACUUCAGGAAACUGGGGCUAAUACCGGAUAGGAGCUCCUGCUGCAUUGUGGGGGUUGGAAAGUUUCGGCGGUUGGGGAUGGACUCGCGGGUUAUCAACUUGUUGGUGGGGUAGUGGCUUACCAAGGCUUUGACGGGUAGCCGGCCUGAGAGGGUGACCGGCCACAUUGGGACUGAGAUACGCCCCAGACUCCUACGGGAGGCAGCAGUGGGGAAGCUUGCACAAUGGGAGGAAGCCUGAUGCAGCAACGCCGCGUGCGGGAUGACGGCCUUCGGGUUGUAAACCGCUUUCGCCUGUGACGAAGAGUGAGUGACGGUAAUGGGUAAAGAAGCAACGGCUAACUACGUG
This 468-nucleotide ribosomal RNA is filed under the name uncultured bacterium. Its description in RNAcentral is "partial 16S ribosomal RNA". It matches the Rfam family "Bacterial small subunit ribosomal RNA", at positions 28 to 507 of the family's 1533-position model. The record is from RNAcentral.